AGAGAGAGAGAGCGCCGAAGAUAGGAGGAGCACCGCCGCUCACGGCAACGGCGGCGGUGGAGGCGACGACGGGUGUCUCUCGCCGGCGUCACAUCAUGGUCCGGCGAUGGUGAUUGUUUGACGGAAACAAUGGAUGCUAUUUAUGUUGAAGACGGUGAUGGUGGUAGCUUCGGGUGUUCGACUCAGCUCCGGUGACGGCUGUGGAAUAAUGGUGGUGCUGAUAUUCGAUUUCAGAUUAUGGUGCGGGUCAAGUAUGGUUCGAGUAUUCCAGCAGGUUAAGCGGGUCUCAACUUAGUCAACCCGAGUCAACUCGGUUGACUCGGUCAACACACAGUCGGAACGGGUCAGACCUGGAGCCGGUCAACUCAGUCGAACGAGCGGCUUUCGGUUGGAGUUUGGGUUUUGGUUUGGCUUGCUUUAGUGUGAUUCAACUCGGUUGACUCGGUCAAACCGAGUCAACUCAGUCAAGCUCAGUCAACAGCGAGUCAACUCGGUCAAACCGAGUUAACUUGAUAAACCCAGUCACGUUCUAACGCGAUAGUUAUGGUAAAGGUUUAACGGCAAAAGUUGUUUUGUUAUUUUCAUAUAAUAUUACGUGAACGAGCUCGAACCGAUUUAAUUUA
Helianthus annuus (common sunflower) is the source of this 623-nucleotide long non-coding RNA. RefSeq lists it as uncharacterized. The transcript has 2 exons. Lineage: Eukaryota; Viridiplantae; Streptophyta; Magnoliopsida; Asterales; Asteraceae. The record is from RefSeq and is a predicted model, not a curated record.